GAUGAACGCUGGCGGCGUGCCUAAUACAUGCAAGUCGAGCGAACAGACGAGGAGCUUGCUCCUCUGACGUUAGCGGCGGACGGGUGAGUAACACGUGGAUAACCUACCUAUAAGACUGGGAUAACUUCGGGAAACCGGAGCUAAUACCGGAUAAUAUGUUGAACCGCAUGGUUCAACAGUGAAAGACGGUCUUGCUGUCACUUAUAGAUGGAUCCGCGCCGCAUUAGCUAGUUGGUAAGGUAACGGCUUACCAAGGCAACGAUGCGUAGCCGACCUGAGAGGGUGAUCGGCCACACUGGAACUGAGACACGGUCCAGACUCCUACGGGAGGCAGCAGUAGGGAAUCUUCCGCAAUGGGCGAAAGCCUGACGGAGCAACGCCGCGUGAGUGAUGAAGGUCUUCGGAUCGUAAAACUCUGUUAUUAGGGAAGAGCAAAUGUGUAAGUAACUAUGCACGUCUUGACGGUACCUAAUCAGAAAGCCACGGCUAACUACGUG
Molecule: ribosomal RNA, 497 nt
Filed under: uncultured bacterium
Lineage: Bacteria
Description: partial 16S ribosomal RNA
Rfam family: Bacterial small subunit ribosomal RNA
Source: RNAcentral